CCUACGGGGUGCAGCAGUGGGGAAUAUUGCACAAUGGGGGAAACCCUGAUGCAGCGACGCCGCGUGAGUGAAGAAGUAUUUCGGUACGUAAAGCACUAUCAGCAGGGAAGAAAAUGACGGUACCUGACUAAGAAGCGCCUGCUAACUACGGGCCAGCAGCCGCGGUAAUAAGUAGGGGGCUAGCGUUAUCCGGAUUGACUGUGUGUAAAGGGAGCGUAGACGGCUGCGCAAGUCUGGUGUGAAAUCCCUGGGAUGAACCAUGGAACUGAUUUGGAAACUGGGCAGCUAGAGUGCAGGCGAGGUAAGCAGAAGUCCUAGUGUAGCGGUGAAAUGCGUAGAUAUUAGGAGGAACACCAGUGGCGAAGGCGGCUUACUGGACUGUAACUGACGUUGAGGCUCGAAAGCGUGGGGAGCAAACAGGAUUAGAUACCCCUGUAGUC
This 440-nucleotide ribosomal RNA is filed under the name uncultured bacterium. RNAcentral's name for it is "partial 16S ribosomal RNA". It matches the Rfam family "Bacterial small subunit ribosomal RNA", at positions 338 to 795 of the family's 1533-position model. The record is from RNAcentral.